UUCAUAUAGUGAAAAUUCUGACUCCGCCAUUGCUAACUUAUACAUGCAAAUUAGCAGAUAAAUCACUAAUCACAUUUUUCCUAUGCAACAAAAAUAGACAAAGGAUAACAAUCUAUAGAUGCCAGAGUCCUCUGCCAUUUGAUGUUGUUUCUGCCAUUGAUGUUAAGCACUUUCUCUGCAGAUCUAAUCAGGAAGGAACUGUGUAUGUUGAAAUCUGAGUAGGUCCCUCCUCUCCAAAUCAUGGCCACUAGCAUGCCGAAAAUGCAGCACAUAAUAGAGCUGUGGCCUGAUUCCUUUAGCAGAUGCACAAAUCUGAGUGAGUA
This 323-nucleotide long non-coding RNA is filed under the name Solanum tuberosum (potato). RNAcentral's name for it is "long non-coding RNA (STUB_LNC000506)". Lineage: Eukaryota; Viridiplantae; Streptophyta; Magnoliopsida; Solanales; Solanaceae. The record is from RNAcentral.